RNAcentral lists this unclassified non-coding RNA (283 nucleotides) under uncultured fungus. RNAcentral describes it as "sequence contains ITS2". The record is from RNAcentral. Lineage: Eukaryota; Fungi.
AACGCACAUUGCGCCUGCCAGCACUCUGGCAGGCAUGCCUGUCCGAGCGUCAUUUCAACCCUCAAGCGCCCCGUGCGCCUGGUGUUGGGGCUCUUCUGCGCUACCCUUUAGCGGUCGCAGGCCCUGAAAGCAAGUGGCGGGCCCGCCGGUUGGCUCCGAGCGCAGUAAGCACAGAUUCUUUUUUGUCUUCGCUCUGGACGCCCCGGCCGGCGCCCUGCCGUGAAAAGCCCAAAUUUUUUACAAGGUUGACCUCGGAUCAGGUAGGACUACCCGCUGAACUUAA